Molecule: ribosomal RNA, 386 nt
Filed under: uncultured eukaryote
Lineage: Eukaryota
Description: partial 18S ribosomal RNA
Rfam family: Eukaryotic small subunit ribosomal RNA
Source: RNAcentral
CAAUAGCGUAUAUUAAAGUUGUUGCAGUUAAAAAGCUCGUAGUUGGAUUUCUGGACGGAGCGACCGGUCCGCUGCUGUGCAGUGUGUACUUGUGUCUGACUCUGUUCAUCCUUGCAGGGAAGCGCAUUUCGGCAUUCAGUUGUCGAGGCGGGGAACUGCAUCUUUUACUGUGAAAAAAUUAGAGUGUUUAAAGCAGGCAUUUUGCUGUGAAUACAUUAGCAUGGAAUAAUAAUAUAGGACCUUGUUUCUAUUUUGUUGGUUGGAGAACUAGGUAAUGAUUAAUAGGGACAGUUGGGGGUAUUCAUAUUUAAUUGUCAGAGGUGAAAUUCUUGGAUUUAUGAAAGAUGAACUCAUGCGAAAGCAUUUACCAAGGAUGUUUUCAUUAA